UAGGGAAUCUUCCGCAAUGGGCGAAAGCCUGACGGAGCAACGCCGCGUGAGUGAUGAAGGUCUUCGGAUCGUAAAACUCUGUUAUUAGGGAAGAACAUAUGUGUAAGUAACUGUGCACAUCUUGACGGUACCUAAUCAGAAAGCCACGGCUAACUACGUGCCAGCAGCCGCGGUAAUACGUAGGUGGCAAGCGUUAUCCGGAAUUAUUGGGCGUAAAGCGCGCGUAGGCGGUUUUUUAAGUCUGAUGUGAAAGCCCACGGCUCAACCGUGGAGGGUCAUUGGAAACUGGAAAACUUGAGUGCAGAAGAGGAAAGUGGAAUUCCAUGUGUAGCAGUGAAAUGCGCAGAGAUAUGGAGGAACACCAGUGGCGAAGGCGACUUUCCGGUCUGUAACUGACGCUGAUGUGCGAAAGCGUGGGGAUCAAACAGGAUUAGAUACCCUGGUAGUCCACGCCGUAAACGAUGAGUGCUAAGUGUUAGGGGGUUUCCGCCCCUUAGUGCUGCAGCUAACGCAUUAAGCACUCCGCCUGGGGAGUACGACCGCAAGGUUG
This 550-nucleotide ribosomal RNA is filed under the name uncultured bacterium. Its description in RNAcentral is "bacterial SSU rRNA". It matches the Rfam family "Bacterial small subunit ribosomal RNA", at positions 355 to 896 of the family's 1533-position model. The record is from RNAcentral.